RNAcentral lists this ribosomal RNA (332 nucleotides) under uncultured bacterium. RNAcentral describes it as "partial 16S ribosomal RNA". It matches the Rfam family "Bacterial small subunit ribosomal RNA", at positions 338 to 681 of the family's 1533-position model. The record is from RNAcentral.
CCUACGGGCGGCAGCAGUCGAGAAUCAUUCACAAUGGGGGAAACCCUGAUGGGGCGACGCCGCGUGGGGGAAGGAAGGUCUCCGGAUGGUAAACCCCGGUCAUGGGGGAGAAAAUUAAAAAGAUAGAACCACAAGAGGAAGAGACGGCUAACUCGGAGCCAGCAGCCGCGGUAAGACAGAGGUCUCAAGCGUUGUUCGGAAUGACUGGGCGUCCAGCGUGCGGAGGCUGUUUCGUAAGUCGUGUGUGAAAGGCGCGGGCUCAACCCGCGGACGGCACCUGAUACUGCGAGACUAGAGUACUGUAGGGGGAACCGGAAUUCUCUGUGUAGCAG